AAACGAUGAUUACUCACGAUGAGUGUCCACACAGAUUGAUAUGGUUUAAAUUCAGAGCAAAAAGUUGGUUCUGCAUAAAGUGCUGAAGCAAUUUAUGUGGGGCUAUAGCUCAGCUGGGAGAGCGCUUCGCUGGCAGCGAAGAGGUCAUCGGUUCGAUCCCGAUUAGCUCCACCACUGACUUCCUAUGUCCCGUUCGUCUAGAGGCCUAGGACACCGCCCUUUCACGGCGGUAACAGGGGUUCGACUCCCCUACGGGAUACCAUCUUUAAGCACAUUUUUUUUGAUAAGAAAGUAUUAAGUGUUCUUAAAAAUGGUUACUUCAUUAGAAGUGAUUAGCUCUUUAACAAUUUGGAAAGCUGACAAAACAACAAUUUAUUGUUGUUUGUAAAGUUCUCAAUGUUUGUCCUUAAGACAAACACCAAAAUAACACAUUCAAGUGUUCUUGGAAUUUGAGUCCGGCAAAAUCGAGUCUGCAUCAUGUAUAAAAAUUGCAGACAACUUUGGUGACUUGUUCAUCAACUCGAAACUCCUUCGGGUUGUAU
Molecule: transfer RNA, 542 nt
Filed under: Vibrio parahaemolyticus
Lineage: Bacteria; Pseudomonadati; Pseudomonadota; Gammaproteobacteria; Vibrionales; Vibrionaceae
Description: 16S-23S ribosomal RNA intergenic spacer region
Rfam family: tRNA (bases 99-171)
Source: RNAcentral